Long non-coding RNA from Triplophysa rosa, 504 nucleotides. RefSeq lists it as uncharacterized. The record is from RefSeq and is a predicted model, not a curated record. Lineage: Eukaryota; Metazoa; Chordata; Actinopteri; Cypriniformes; Nemacheilidae. The transcript is spliced from 3 exons.
ACACUGCCUAUUAUUUGCCUUUUGAUACCCUUUCUACAAUGACAUGUUUGUGCAUUUGCUUUAUUAAUAAUGUUUUACAUGUUGGCAGACUUCAAAUAUAUAGUACAUGUUAGCAGACUAAUAUAUGUACAAUUAUUAAAAUGAUUGCUUUUUAACAGACAGAGGCAAUAAUAGAAAGAGUGUAUGAAGUCACACAACUGGCUAGAGAUUCCAUGGAGAAUACGUCCUACAUUCUGGACGUUAUGACCCCUGAGGUAACCCUCAUUAUUCUCCACAAGACUGAGGGCUUUCACAGGUACCAGGGAGAAAUGGCAUUACAGUCAAACAUUUCUUUGGAGGUGCAAUGUACUAAUCCACCAUGGUUCUAAUUGAACGUCAGCAAGAAUCUUUUCCCAACCCUUUUUGAGGAGAUGGGAUUUCAUAAAUAGGUUUCAUGUUACAUAUGUAAAAUGUUAUGUAAGACAUGUAAAAUAUUAUAGUAUCAUUGUAUGUUACUGCUGUAAC